Molecule: ribosomal RNA, 497 nt
Filed under: uncultured bacterium
Lineage: Bacteria
Description: partial 16S ribosomal RNA
Rfam family: Bacterial small subunit ribosomal RNA
Source: RNAcentral
GAUGAACGCUGGCGGCGUGCCUAAUACAUGCAAGUCGAGCGAACGGACGAGACUCUUGCUGCUCUGUUGUUACCGGCGGACGGGUGAGUAACACGUGGAUAACCCUCCUCUAAGACUUAAAUAACUUCGAGAAACCGGAGUUAAUACCGUAUAUUAUUUUGAACCGCAUGGUUCAAAAGUAAAAUACGGUCUUGCUGUCACUUAUAGAUGGAUCCGCGUUGCAUUAGCUAGUUGGUAAGGUAACGGCUUACCAAGGCAACGAUGCAUAGCCGACCUGAGAGGGUGAUCGGCCACACUGGAGCUGAAACGCGGUCCAGACUACUAAGGGAGGCAGCAGUAGGGAAUCGUCCGCAGAGGGCGAAAGUCUGACGGAGCAGCGCCGCGUGAGUGAUGGAGAUCUUCGGAUCGUAAAACUCGGUUAUUAGGGAAGAACAUAUUUGAAAGUAAAUGUGCAGAGCUUGACGGUACCUAAUCAGAAAGCGACGGCUAACUACGUG